RNAcentral lists this unclassified non-coding RNA (196 nucleotides) under uncultured fungus. RNAcentral's name for it is "sequence contains ITS1". The record is from RNAcentral. Lineage: Eukaryota; Fungi.
GUAUAUAUUAAAUAGGCACAACAUUCUAUUGACAUACAUUGGGGUAAAUGAAACGACAUAGACCUGAAAAGGUCUACAAAAGGUGCACAGGUGGAGAUAUAAAAAUGACAAGGCGUGCACAUGCUCCCUAGAGAACCAGCAACAACCCAUCAGGUUUAUUUCAAUAAUGAUCCUUCCGCAGGUUCACCUACGGAAA